Heterocephalus glaber (naked mole-rat) is the source of this 103-nucleotide small nuclear RNA. The record is from Ensembl. NCBI's taxonomy places the organism in Eukaryota, Metazoa, Chordata, Mammalia, Rodentia, Bathyergidae.
AUGCUUCAGCAGCACAUAUACUAAAACUGGACUGAUAUAGAGAAGCUUAGCAUAGCCCAUGCACAAGGAUGACACAUAAAUUCAUGAAUCAUUCCACAUUUUU